UAGAGGAGCAUGCUAAGGUAAUAAAACUGUAAAGAAAAUCAAGGAAAUGCUUAUCAUAACGGUCAAAUAGUAGCUACCUCUAGGAGAGGAAGGAGGCGGGGUGAUUUGGAAGGGGUCCCGAGGAGGCUUCUGGGGCUGUGGCCAGUUUCUGUUUCUUCAUCUGAGUGGUGGCUACUCAGGUGUUGCUUUGUGACAAGUCAGCGAGCUGUACCUCUUUAUUUUGUGUGCUUUUCUAUACGUCUGUUAUAUUUUACAAAGAAUUUUUGAACAACUGCUGUGCCUUCUCUAAUCUUAUUUUACUCUGUGGUCCCUGUGGGUUUACGCCUUUCCUGUUGCGGCGGGGUUGCCAGAGGGAGCCAAAGUAAGCGCGUGCACUCAGUCCAGCAUCCUGACUUGGAAGCUCUCCAGCCUGGUCGGGACGGCCGUUUGCACCUGAAGACUUCCCAAGGAGAGGCUGUCUGUGUACCUGAUCAUGAGUCAUUAUCAGACAGAUUGGACAACUGAUUGCCCCAAGCCAUGAACCGUAUCGCCAGUACGCCACAAUGCAGGUACC
Molecule: long non-coding RNA, 553 nt
Organism: Physeter macrocephalus (sperm whale)
Lineage: Eukaryota; Metazoa; Chordata; Mammalia; Artiodactyla; Physeteridae
Exons: 2
Source: RefSeq, a predicted model, not a curated record